RNAcentral lists this ribosomal RNA (497 nucleotides) under uncultured bacterium. Its description in RNAcentral is "partial 16S ribosomal RNA". It matches the Rfam family "Bacterial small subunit ribosomal RNA", at positions 28 to 507 of the family's 1533-position model. The record is from RNAcentral.
GAUGAACGCUGGCGGCGUGCCUAAUACAUGCAAGUCGAGCGAACGGACGAGAAGCUUGCUUCUCUGAUGUUAGCGGCGGACGGGUGAGUAACACGUGGAUAACCUACCUAUAAGACUGGGAUAACUUCGGGAAACCGGAGCUAAUACCGGAUGAUAUUUUGAACCGCAUGGUUCAAAAGUGAAAGACGGUCUUGCUGUCACUUAUAGAUGGAUCCGCGCUGCAUUAGCUAGUUGGUAAGGUAACGGCUUACCAAGGCAACGAUGCAUAGCCGACCUGAGAGGGUGAUCGGACACACUGGAACUGAGACACGGUCCAGACUCCUACGGGAGGCAGCAGUAGGGAAUCUUACGCAAUGGGCGAAAGCCUGACGGAGCAAAGCCGCGUGAGUGAUGAAGGUCUUCGGAUCGUAAAACUCUGUUAUUAGGGAAGAACAUAUGUGUAAGUAACUGUGCACAUCUUGACGGUACCUAAUCAGAAAGCCACGGCUAACUACGUG